CGUGCAGAAGCGGGUAUGAAUAUACAAGACGAGAAGACCCUAUGGAGCUUUAGACGCCCACCAAUCACGAAAAGCAGGUCUCGCUCAACAGACUUCCAAACAACGUGAUACUGGCACAAACGUCUUCGGUUGGGGCGACCGCGGGAGAGAAAAAAGCUCCCGAGAGGAUUGGGGCUACCCUAAAACCAAGAGCUACACCUCUAAGUCACAAAACAUUUGACCAAAAAUGAUCCGGCUACAUGCCGAUUAACGAACCAAGUUAC
RNAcentral lists this ribosomal RNA (263 nucleotides) under Clupea harengus (Atlantic herring). RNAcentral describes it as "partial 16S ribosomal RNA". The record is from RNAcentral. Lineage: Eukaryota; Metazoa; Chordata; Actinopteri; Clupeiformes; Clupeidae.